Molecule: ribosomal RNA, 546 nt
Filed under: Gadus chalcogrammus (walleye pollock)
Lineage: Eukaryota; Metazoa; Chordata; Actinopteri; Gadiformes; Gadidae
Description: partial 16S ribosomal RNA
Rfam family: Bacterial large subunit ribosomal RNA
Source: RNAcentral
GCCUGCCCUGUGACUAUAAGUUUAACGGCCGCGGUAUUUUAACCGUGCGAAGGUAGCGUAAUCACUUGUCUUUUAAAUGAAGACCUGUAUGAAUGGCAUCACGAGGGCUUAGCUGUCUCCCAUCUCCAGUCAAUGAAAUUGACCUCCCCGUGCAGAGGCGGGGAUAAUUACAUAAGACGAGAAGACCCUAUGGAGCUUUAGACCUAAAGUAAGUCACGUUUAACAUGCUAAAAUAACAGAAAAAACUUAGUGAUAUUUACUGAAGUGUCUUUGGUUGGGGCGACCGCGGGGUAAAACACAACCCCCAUGUGGACCGGGGAUAUUAUCCCUAAUACUCAGAGCCUCUACUCCAAGUAACAGAAAUUCUGACUUUUCUGAUCCGGUAUAACCGAUCAACGAACCGAGUUACCCUAGGGAUAACAGCGCAAUCCCCUCUCAGAGCCCAUAUCGACGAGGGGGUUUACGACCUCGAUGUUGGAUCAGGACAUCCUAAUGGUGCAGCCGCUAUUAAGGGUUCGUUUGUUCAACGAUUAAAGUCCUACGUGA